AGAGUUUGAUCCUGGCUCAGAUUGAACGCUGGCGGCGUGCUUAACACAUGCAAGUCGUGCGAGAAAGGGGGCUUCGGUCCCUGAGUAGAGCGGCGCACGGGUGAGUAGCGCGUGGAUAAUCUCCCCAGAAGUUCGGGAUAACGGCGGGAAACUGCCGCUAAUACCGGAUACGCUCCAAUUUCGGUUGGGGGAAAGGCGGCCUCUGUUUACAAGCUGUCGCUUCUGGAUGAGUCCGCGUCCCAUUAGCUUGUUGGUGGGGUAAUGGCCUACCAAGGCUACGAUGGGUAGCUGGUCUGAGAGGAUGAUCAGCCACACUGGAACUGAAACACGGUCCAGACUCCUACGGGAGGCAGCAGUGGGGAAUAUUGCGCAAUGGGGGAAACCCUGACGCAGCGACGCCGUGUGAGGGAUGAAGGCUUUCGGG
This 424-nucleotide ribosomal RNA is filed under the name uncultured bacterium. Its description in RNAcentral is "bacterial SSU rRNA". It matches the Rfam family "Bacterial small subunit ribosomal RNA", at positions 8 to 422 of the family's 1533-position model. The record is from RNAcentral.